RNAcentral lists this ribosomal RNA (450 nucleotides) under uncultured bacterium. RNAcentral describes it as "partial 16S ribosomal RNA". It matches the Rfam family "Bacterial small subunit ribosomal RNA", at positions 354 to 796 of the family's 1533-position model. The record is from RNAcentral.
GUGGGGAAUUUUGGACAAUGGGCGAAAGCCUGAUCCAGCAAUGCCGCGUGUGUGAAGAAGGCCUUCGGGUUGUAAAGCACUUUUGGCAGGGAAGAAACAGUGCGUGCUAAUACCAUGCGCGAAUGACGGUACCUGCAGAAUAAGCACCGGCUAACUACGUGCCAGCAGCCGCGGUAAUACGUAGGGUGCAAGCGUUAAUCGGAAUUACUGGGCGUAAAGCGUGCGCAGGCGGCUUUGUAAGACGGAUGUGAAAGCCCCGGGCUCAACCUGGGAAGUUCAUUCGUGACUGCAAGGCUAGAGUGUGUCAGAAGGAGGUGGAAUUCCGCGUGUAGCAGUGAAAUGCGUAGAGAUGCGGAGGAACACCGAUGGCGAAGGCAGCCUCCUGGGAUAACACUGACGCUCAGGCACGAAAGCGUGGGGAGCAAACAGGAUUAGAAACCCGAGUAGUCC